Molecule: non-coding RNA, 149 nt
Organism: Thelonectria olida
Lineage: Eukaryota; Fungi; Ascomycota; Sordariomycetes; Hypocreales; Nectriaceae
Source: the annotation of a GenBank genome assembly
GGCCUGAUGGUCUAGUGGUAGUAAGUCAACCUCGCAGUGAGUAAACAACUCCAGCUCUAACAACCUCAUAGGGAUUGCCGCUUCGGGAAUAGUCCCAAUUCUUCAAAAGAAGCUGUGGCAGGUCCCGGGUUCGAUCCCCGGUUAGGCCC